This 499-nucleotide ribosomal RNA is filed under the name uncultured bacterium. RNAcentral describes it as "partial 16S ribosomal RNA". It matches the Rfam family "Bacterial small subunit ribosomal RNA", at positions 30 to 523 of the family's 1533-position model. The record is from RNAcentral.
AUUGAACGCUGGCGGAAUGCUUUACACAUGCAAGUCGAACGGCAGCACGGACUUCGGUCUGGUGGCGAGUGGCGAACGGGUGAGUAAUACAUCGGAACGUACCCUGUUGUGGGGGAUAACUAGUCGAAAGAUUAGCUAAUACCGCAUACGACCUGAGGGUGAAAGUGGGGGACCGAAAGGCCUCACGCAGCAGGAGCGGCCGAUGUCUGACUAAAUAUUUGGUGGGGUAAAGGCCACCCAAGGCGACGAUCAGUAGCUGGUCUGAGAGGACGAUCAGCCACACUGGGACUGAGCCACGGCCCAGACUCCUACGGGAGGCAGCAGUGGGGAAUUUUGGACAAUGGGGGCAACCCUGAUCCAGAAUGCCGCGUGUGUGAAGAAGGCCUUCGGGUUGUAAAGCACUUUUGUCCGGAAAGAAAUCGCGCUGGUUAAUACCUGGCGUGGAUGACGGUACCGGAAGAAUAAGCACCGGCUAACUACGUGCCAGCAGCCGCCGUAA